CAGUCGCCGCGGUAAUACAGAGGCCUCAAGCGUUGUUCGGAUUCAUUGGGCGUAAAGGGUGCGUAGGUGGCUUGGUAAGUUGAAGGUGAAAUCUCGGGGCUUAACCCCGAAACUGCCUUCAAUACUGCUAGGCUCGAGGACUGUAGAGGAGAAUGGAAUUCACGGUGUAGCAGUGAAAUGCGUAGAUAUCGUGAGGAAGACCAGUGGCGAAGGCGAUUCUCUGGGCAGUUCCUGACACUGAGGCACGAAGGCCAGGGGAGCAAACGGGAUUAGAUACCCCCGUAGUCCCUGUCUCUUAUAC
RNAcentral lists this ribosomal RNA (301 nucleotides) under uncultured bacterium. RNAcentral describes it as "partial 16S ribosomal RNA". It matches the Rfam family "Bacterial small subunit ribosomal RNA", at positions 509 to 807 of the family's 1533-position model. The record is from RNAcentral.